ACCUCGGCUUCCCAAAGUGCUGACAUUACAGGCGCAAGGCACCGCGCCUGGCUUGGACUCUGAUUUACAUCUGGACAAAGGGAAAGGGUGGAUGCUGUAGAGGCAAGGGAGUGAAUGGUACUAGACAUGUUCUGUUUCCUUCUCCAGCUUCACUCUCUUCUCCUCUUCCCUCCCCUCUUCCCUGUUCUCUACUGUGAAUGGUAGAUCUAUGGGGGCUGGAUCAGUGGAGUCUCCUGCUUCCAGCCUCUAGGGGGUUCAGUCAGUGGGGAACCUCAACUGCAGACCAGAAUGAGGACAUCAGUUUGGAAUUUUAGUUCCCCACCUCCCUCCCCAGUAUCAUUGUGGGCUGGAUGCGUUUUUCAGCCUGAGAUGGGAGCUCCUGUUAGGCAACCCUCUCUGAAUAUCUCUCUCUUUCUGUCUCUGGUUCUCUCUCCGGCUCUCUCUAUUUCUGUCUGUGUAUGUGUCUCUCUCUCUCUUCUCUGCAGAUUCCAGCAGUGGCUCCUCUCCUCGCCCUUAUUGGGCGAUGGUGGUAAGAAAGACCCAACGGUAACAGCUCUGGGAAAAUGCUAACCCGUUUUCUUCUGGAGUUCUCUCAAGCCCUUAUGUCAAUUAUCCCAUGAUAGGCAGAUGCUACAUAGCAACGUUUGGGUCAAUGACGAAUUGCGCAUAGAACGGUAGUCUCCGGAGAUGACAAUAUUGUAUUUAUGCUGUACCUUUUCUACGUUUAGAUGUGUAUAGAUACACAAAUACUUGUCGUGGUGUUAAAAUUGCCUGCAGUAUUCACACCAUAACAUGCACUGCAGGCUUGUAGCCUAGGGGCAGUCAACUCUACCAUCCAUCCUGGGUGUGUGUUGGGCUGUACCAUCUGGGUUUUUGUAAGUGCUCUCUUCAAUGUUCCCAUGGCGAUAAAAUCACCUAACGACACAUUUCUCAAGACAUAUCCCUGUCGUUAUUAAAUGCAUGACUAUACUAAUCUCUCCUGCAGUUGCUCAGAUGGGACGAGCCACCUGUUUGUGCGAGGACCUUGGCUGGAAGCCUCAUACGUCUCAGUGCAUCUUCCCCUCCAGAUCCCUGGGUGUCCUGCUGUCCCCUCACAUGGAGAAACCUCAGCACUGGAAGAAAGGACAAGGUCUUUAUUAUUCAGAUACAUGCAGCCACUCCUCCAACGUCCCCUCUCCCAUAGGACAAGUCCAGCUGCUCCAGGCUCUCCCCAGGGUCGCUAUUAGGUGAGUAGACAUGAAUGAUUGUGUGUGGGGAAGAUAAUUCAUGGGCAGGAUGGG
Molecule: long non-coding RNA, 1280 nt
Organism: Cercocebus atys (sooty mangabey)
Lineage: Eukaryota; Metazoa; Chordata; Mammalia; Primates; Cercopithecidae
Exons: 2
Source: RefSeq, a predicted model, not a curated record